RNAcentral lists this long non-coding RNA (1512 nucleotides) under Fukomys damarensis (Damara mole-rat). Its description in RNAcentral is "lncRNA (ENSFDAG00000027148.1)". The record is from RNAcentral. Lineage: Eukaryota; Metazoa; Chordata; Mammalia; Rodentia; Bathyergidae.
UUGAAGCUUUAACAAGAAUAGGUGGAAUAGAUCUAAAACAAGAUUUACCUAACAAAAAAUAUAUAUAUUCGUUGGGGGAGGGGAGCCACUGUAAAGCCAGACAUUUUAGUCUUUUCCCCAUCUUUUGAUUCUCUCUCUACCUGCUUCUCCCUUCAUUUAAAUAUUCGCCCACAGUCAAUCCUCUUUCUUGCCUUUGUAAAGUUCUGGUUCUAAGUAUGAGCUCACCAUAGAGACAGGAGCUACUAACAAUAGAAAAGAUUGUGUCCAUGACAACCAGAAAGACUCAAAGCAGUGGCUGACUUUAACCAUCUGGUCCUAGUCUUGUUCUGUAUAUUUCUCUUUUUGCCUCAUGGGUUUUGCUUACACUUUAUCAAAGUGCUGUCACACUGCUGCACAGAGAGGCAGGCAGGAAAGUGUCCAUGCUGCCUGUGGGGAGACGUGGGACAAGUAUCUGUAUAUAGUAGAUGCUAUAUGCGCAGUUGAGAGCAGAGGUGACAAUUUCCUACCAAAGUGCUAGCUCUGGAGGAGGCAGAAGACAGAUUUGGAAGCUAGACAAACAAGUUAGGGCUCGGGCGCUAACUCACCACCACUGGGAUUCAACCUGAGGAGCGUAUAAGGCAUGAACUCUGGCUUCAUGGUAAACAAGAAACGCUGGCUUCGUGGUAAAGAGUUUAGAGGUCAUGCUACUCAUAGGUAUGAGAAAAAUCUGAACAAAUUGAAGAUAAUGACUCUUCUUGGAACCAUCAGAGAAACUGAGCUCAUAGGAGAAACCACUAACUGAGCUCCGGAAAAUGGUCACAUCCUGGGAGAUGCAGCCUUCCAAAUUUACUUACCUGGAACAGAAGCCAUUAGAAACAAUCAUCUGGCGGGAGCACUUGCAUUAUUUUGCUGAGUUGCAGGAAGCUGAGUGCAGACUUGGGCAAAAAUGAGACUGGCAGCGGGGCUGCAGUGAUGGAAGAAGGGGACCACACUUACGAGGCUUCACUCCAGGAACCCCUCAGCUUCCUCUGGAGAUAAUGUGAGAAGGAUCUGGAUGAGAGAGGAGCAAAGUAUCAUUUAAAAACCACUUAUGGCUGGGCGUGAUGGCGCUCACCUGUAAUCCCAACACUCAGGAGGCUGAGGCAGGAGGAUCUCUGUGAGUUCAAGACCAACCUGGGCUACAUAAUGAGUUCCAGGUCAGUCUCAACUACAUAGUUAGACCUUGUCUCAAAAAAACAAACCAAAAAAACACUCACUAGGGCUGGGGAGCUAGCUCAGUGGUUCUGCCACAAGGUCCCAAGUUUGAUCCCCAGUACCAAAAGACAAAAACAAACAAACAAACAAACAAAAACCAUUUAUUAGUCUCCAGGUGGAAGGAGCACCUAAUAAAGGAAGGAACAAGGAUUACAGUGAACUUCUCAUCAGAAGCCAUGCAAAGAAGAGGACAGGAAAAUGGGUGAAACUGUUAAAAGGCUGAAAGAAGGAAAUCUAGAAUUUCACGCCCAGAGAAAUCAGCCCUCAAAAGUAAGGGAG